UUGCAUUUAAAAACAAAAAACUUUUUUCACUGUUAUAGAUUGAAUAGCAGUCAGUGUCCUUAAAGCGGGUGUAUCAGGCUCACAGUGGAUACUGUGCCCAGUGCCACCACUCACUCACUGGUGUCACAAUAGCUUGCAUUUAAAACCAAAAAACGUUUUUCACUGUUAUAGAUUGAAUAGCAGUUAGUUGUCUCAAAGUGGG
This is a non-coding RNA of Pelobates cultripes (western spadefoot toad), 202 nucleotides long. Lineage: Eukaryota; Metazoa; Chordata; Amphibia; Anura; Pelobatidae. The record is from the annotation of a GenBank genome assembly.